Molecule: ribosomal RNA, 147 nt
Filed under: Oreochromis niloticus (Nile tilapia)
Lineage: Eukaryota; Metazoa; Chordata; Actinopteri; Cichliformes; Cichlidae
Description: 5.8S ribosomal RNA (ENSONIG00000022070.2)
Rfam family: 5.8S ribosomal RNA (bases 20-147)
About the family: 5.8S ribosomal RNA (5.8S rRNA) is a component of the large subunit of the eukaryotic ribosome. It is transcribed by RNA polymerase I as part of the 45S precursor that also contains 18S and 28S rRNA.
Source: Rfam by way of RNAcentral
AAGAAUCAUUCGAAGAUACCGUGCGUCGAUGAAGAACGCAGCUAGCUGCGAGAACUAAUGUGAAUUGCAGGACACAUUGAUCAUCGACACUUCGAAUGCACCUUGUGGCCCCGGGUUCCUCCCGGGGCUACGCCUGUCUGAGCGUCG